AUUGAACGCUGGCGGCAUGCCUUACACAUGCAAGUCGAACGGCAGCAUGGAAGAGCUUGCUCUUCUGAUGGCGAGUGGCGAACGGGUGAGUAAAGCAUCGGAACGUACCGUGUAGUGGGGGAUAACGUAGCGAAAGUUACGCUAAUACCGCAUACGCACUGAGGUGGAAAGCAGGGGAUCGCAAGACCUUGCGCUAUACGAGCGGCCGAUGUCAGAUUAGCUAGUUGGUAGGGUAAAGGCCUACCAAGGCGACGAUCUGUAGCGGGUCUGAGAGGAUGAUCCGCCACACUGGGACUGAGACACGGCCCAGACUCCUACGGGAGGCAGCAGUGGGGAAUUUUGGACAAUGGGCGAAAGCCUGAUCCAGCCAUGCCGCGUGAGUGAAGAAGGCCUUCGGGUUGUAAACCUCUGUCAUUAGGGAAGAAGAAAGUGACGGUACCUAAUGAGGAAGCCCCGGCUAACUACGUG
Molecule: ribosomal RNA, 468 nt
Filed under: uncultured bacterium
Lineage: Bacteria
Description: bacterial SSU rRNA
Rfam family: Bacterial small subunit ribosomal RNA
Source: RNAcentral